GCAUAAUCAUUUGCCUUUUAAUUGAAGGCUAGUAUGAAUGGACAAACGCGAAUACAGCUGUCUCUUACUGAUAAACAAAAACUAAUAAUUAGGUGAAGACGCCUAAAUAUAAAUGAAGGACAAGAAGACCCUACAGAGCUCUGCCAAGAAAAGUAUAAUACUGACAUCGGCUUAGUUGGGACAACUUAUAUUCACACAAACCAAUAUACCUAAAAUAAUACCAACCAUAAACAUAAAUCGUCAAGCUACCUUAGGGAUAACAGGCUAAUCUCAUUAAAGAGAUCACAUUGACAAUGAGGAUUGG
Molecule: ribosomal RNA, 304 nt
Filed under: Nereididae environmental sample
Lineage: Eukaryota; Metazoa; Annelida; Polychaeta; Phyllodocida; Nereididae
Description: partial 16S ribosomal RNA
Rfam family: Bacterial large subunit ribosomal RNA
Source: RNAcentral